This 335-nucleotide unclassified non-coding RNA is filed under the name soil metagenome. RNAcentral's name for it is "partial contains 5.8S ribosomal RNA, internal transcribed spacer 2, and large subunit ribosomal RNA". The stretch from base 1 to 120 matches the Rfam family "5.8S ribosomal RNA", at positions 35 to 154 of the family's 154-position model. The record is from RNAcentral.
GAUGAAGAACGUAGCGAAAUGCGAUAAGUAAUGUGAAUUGCAGAAUUCAGUGAAUCAUCGAAUCUUUGAACGCACAUUGCGCCCGCCAGUAUUCUGGCGGGCAUGCCUGUUCAAGCGUCAUUUCAACCAUCAAGCCCCCGGCUUGUGUUGGGGACCUGCGGCUGCCGCAGGCCCUGAAAACCAGUGGCGGGCUCGCUAGUCACUCCGAGCGUAGUAAUACAUCUCGCUCAGGGCGUGCUGCGGGUUCCGGCCGUUAAAAAGCCUUAUUUACCCAAGGUUGACCUCGGAUCAGGUAGGAAGACCCGCUGAACUUAAGCAUAUCAAUAAGCGGAGGA